CCCUUAGAUGUCCUGGGCCGCACGCGCGUUACACUGAUGCAUUCAACGAGCUUAUAACCUUGGCCGAGAGGCCUGGGCAAUCUUGUUAACGUGCAUCGUGAUAGGGAUAGAUUAUUGAAAUUAUUAAUCUUGAACGAGGAAUUCCUAGUAAACGCAGAUCAUCAAUCUGCAUUGAUUACGUCCCUGCCCUUUGUACACACCGCCCGUCGCACCUACCGAUUGGAUGGUCCGGUGAAGCCUCGGGAUUGUGGCGGUUGCCUUUAUUGGUGGCCGCCGCGAGAACUUGUCUAAACCUUAUCAUCUAGAGGAAGGUGAAGUCGUAACA
RNAcentral lists this ribosomal RNA (325 nucleotides) under uncultured eukaryote. RNAcentral's name for it is "partial 18S ribosomal RNA". It matches the Rfam family "Eukaryotic small subunit ribosomal RNA", at positions 1470 to 1796 of the family's 1831-position model. The record is from RNAcentral.